RNAcentral lists this ribosomal RNA (452 nucleotides) under Megelenophorus americanus. Its description in RNAcentral is "partial large subunit ribosomal RNA". It matches the Rfam family "Bacterial large subunit ribosomal RNA", at positions 1809 to 2532 of the family's 2925-position model. Lineage: Eukaryota; Metazoa; Arthropoda; Insecta; Coleoptera; Tenebrionidae. The record is from RNAcentral.
AAAAACAUGUCCUUUUGUUUAUGAUUUAAGGUCUGACCUGCCCAAUGAUUGUUUGAAUGGCCGCAGUAUUUUGACUGUGCGAAGGUAGCAUAAUCAUUAGUUUUUUAAAUGGAAGCUGGAAUGAACGGUUUGAUGAGAAAAUUACUGUCUCAAAUUAAUUGUUUUAGAAUUUUAAUUUUGAGUCAAAAAGCUCAAAUGUUUUAAAAAGACGAGAAGACCCUAUAGAGUUUUAUUUCUUAUUUAAUAAAUUUUUUUAUGGUUUAAUUAUUUUUUAUUUUUUAAGGAAUUUUGUUGGGGUGAUAUAAAAAUUUAGUUAACUUUUUAUUUAUUUUUUCAUUUAUUUAUGAUUUUUUGAUCCUUUAUUUAAGAUUAUAAGAUAAAAUUACCUUAGGGAUAACAGCGUUAUUUUUUCGGAGAGUUCUUAUCGAUGAAAAAGUUUGCGACCUCGAUGU